CCUACGGGGUGCAGCAGUGGGGAAUAUUGGACAAUGGGGGAAACCCUGAUCCAGCGACGCCGCGUGAGUGAAGAAGUAUUUCGGUACGUAAAGCUCUAUCAGCAGGAAAGAAAAUGACGGUACCUGACUAAGAAGCCCCGGCUAACUACGUGCCAGCAGCCGCGGUAAUACGUAGGGGGAAAGCGUUAUCCGGAUUUACUGGGUGGAAAGGGAGCGUAGACGGCAGCGCAAGUCUGGAGUGAAAUGCCGGGGCCCAACCCCGGAACUGCUCUGGAAACUGUGAAGCUGGAGUGCAGGAGAGGUAAGCGGAAUUCCUGGUGUAGCGGUGAAAUGCGUAGAUAUCAGGAGGAACACCGGCGGCGAAGGCGGCCUGCUGGACUGCGACUGACGUUGAGGCCCGAAAGCGUGGGGAGCAAACAGGAUUAGAUACCCCUGUAGUC
Molecule: ribosomal RNA, 440 nt
Filed under: uncultured bacterium
Lineage: Bacteria
Description: partial 16S ribosomal RNA
Rfam family: Bacterial small subunit ribosomal RNA
Source: RNAcentral